RNAcentral lists this non-coding RNA (25 nucleotides) under Mus musculus (house mouse). Lineage: Eukaryota; Metazoa; Chordata; Mammalia; Rodentia; Muridae. The record is from RNAcentral.
UGAAGAGCAUACCGCAGGACAGGGA